This 253-nucleotide ribosomal RNA is filed under the name uncultured bacterium. RNAcentral's name for it is "partial 16S ribosomal RNA". It matches the Rfam family "Bacterial small subunit ribosomal RNA", at positions 524 to 776 of the family's 1533-position model. The record is from RNAcentral.
UACGUAGGGUGCGAGCGUUACUCGGAAUUACUGGGCGUAAAGCGUGCGCAGGCGGUUCGUGAUGUCUGGUGUGAAAGCCCCGGGCUUAACCUGGGAAUUGCAUUGGAAACUAGCGGGCUGGAGUGUGGCAGAGGGGGGUGGAAUUCCACGUGUAGCAGUGAAAUGCGUAGAGAUGUGGAGGAACACCGAUGGCGAAGGCAGCCCCCUGGGCUAACACUGACGCUCAUGCACGAAAGCGUGGGGAGCAAACAGG